GGCUGAAAUUAAUAGAUGAUUUUUUCAAUCAAAUGGUGGUGUUGUGCACUGGAGCAUAAAACACAGCUUCUUGAUAUUCUUAAUCCAAACUCAAGCAUGGGGCAGAUUUAUCAAGGUGUCGCCCAACUCAACUGUGUGCCCAAGGAAGGUGCCUUCAGUCAAAAUGUUCUUCAGGGCAACUAUUCUGCAAGUCUGCAGCAAUUCAUGCUUACCUCUUCAUAACUUUGUUGUGGUAAUUUCAUGACUUUCAUAUUUUCUGGCCAAGUUGUAUCCUUUCGGGACUAUGCCAUCGGGGAAUUUGCUCAAAUUUAUCAUCAAACUUAUUUGAGAGAAAUGACUUCAAACCGUGGAAGUAAAUGUUUACUGCAGACAGCUUGGGAACUGCUCCAGUAAUCAUGCAUCGGUUUGUAAACUUUGUAUGAUAUCAUGUAGAUAUCUUUUUAAAUCUUGAUACUGAUUUCAGUUAUUUGUUAUUUGCAUAUAACAACACACUCAAUAUGUUUGUAGUUUAUG
Molecule: long non-coding RNA, 513 nt
Organism: Elaeis guineensis (African oil palm)
Lineage: Eukaryota; Viridiplantae; Streptophyta; Magnoliopsida; Arecales; Arecaceae
Source: RefSeq, a predicted model, not a curated record